Molecule: long non-coding RNA, 818 nt
Organism: Phragmites australis (common reed)
Lineage: Eukaryota; Viridiplantae; Streptophyta; Magnoliopsida; Poales; Poaceae
Exons: 3
Source: RefSeq, a predicted model, not a curated record
ACAGAUCUCGAGAUCUAGUGCUUCUUUGCUUCUUCGGCUCCUGCCAGAAAGGAAUCUCUUUACCCUUGCUCUUCUUCCAAGGAAUGUAUAAAAGGCACUAUCUCGACAUACAUUGCUUCUUUGCUCCUUCAGCUGCUACAAGAAAGGAACAUGGUAACAUGUUUUAUAAAGCAUUUGCAGAAGCAAUAUGCGGCUUCACACGCCAUAACAAGUUAGAAAACACAACUUGAUCAGGCAUUUGGCUGAAAGUAAUCCAAGCAUCCAUCUAUUCCAUUCUAAGGAAGGAACGGUGGACAUCAGUGCUGAAGAAAUAUCGACUUGUAGCGACGGAUCAAACGAAUCUGAAAUUUAUUUAUAUACGCGGCUUCUUAGGACAUGCAAGAGGCUAAGAGUGGCACCAUAUCAGCUUGCUGAAGCAAGCUCAUUAAUAAUUAUCCAAGGACCCAAGUAUCCAACCAGCCACGAACAAGCAGGCAAUGAUUACUCUUCCUGAGUUUCAAUUAUGCUUGUGAAGUAUUUCUGAGACAUAACAUUAUUUCCCCUUGCAGUUUGUUUUCCAUAAGCAUAGAUCAGUUACUGUAGAUGUAGUAAGCUCCAUUUGGCAUUGAGAAAUACAUUUUUGUAAGCAGGAGCUCUGUUGAAAAUACCUGGUUUUAUGCUUAGAAGUCUCUUAAAAUACGCACAAUGUGGUACGUACAUGAGUUGCGCAACAUUCUAGUGGAACUCAUAGCCCGGUUAUUUGGUUACCUGAAGUAGAACUCAUAGCCCGGUUAUUUGGUUACCUGAAGCUCAAAUUGUAUUGAACGCCAAGUGCUCUA